Molecule: unclassified non-coding RNA, 340 nt
Filed under: soil metagenome
Description: partial contains 5.8S ribosomal RNA, internal transcribed spacer 2, and large subunit ribosomal RNA
Rfam family: 5.8S ribosomal RNA (bases 2-119)
Source: RNAcentral
GUGAAGAACGUAGCGAAAUGCGAUAAGUAAUGUGAAUUGCAGAAUUCAGUGAAUCAUCGAAUCUUUGAACGCACAUUGCGCCCUUUGGUAUUCCAAAGGGCAUGCCUGUUCGAGCGUCAUUUGUACCCUCAAGCUUUGCUUGGUGUUGGGCGUCUUGUCUCUAGCUUUGCUGGAGACUCGCCUUAAAGUAAUUGGCAGCCGGCCUACUGGUUUCGGAGCGCAGCACAAGUCGCACUCUCUAUCAGCAAAGGUCUAGCAUCCAUUAAGCCUUUUUUUCAACUUUUGACCUCGGAUCAGGUAGGGAUACCCGCUGAACUUAAGCAUAUCAAUAAGCGGAGGA